This 433-nucleotide ribosomal RNA is filed under the name uncultured bacterium. RNAcentral describes it as "partial 16S ribosomal RNA". It matches the Rfam family "Bacterial small subunit ribosomal RNA", at positions 29 to 507 of the family's 1533-position model. The record is from RNAcentral.
AGCGAACGCUGGCGGCAGGCCUAACACAUGCAAGUCGAACGAACUCUUCGGAGUUAGUGGCGGACGGGUGAGUAACACGUGGGAACGUGCCUUUUGGUUCGGAAUAACUCAGGGAAAUUUGUGCUAAUACCGAAUGUGCCCUUCGGGGGAAAGAUUUAUCGCCAUUAGAGCGGCCCGCGUCUGAUUAGCUAGUUGGUGAGGUAACGGCUCACCAAGGCGACGAUCAGUAGCUGGUCUGAGAGGAUGACCAGCCACACUGGGACUGAGACACGGCCCAGACUCCUACGGGAGGCAGCAGUGGGGAAUCUUGCGCAAUGGGCGAAAGCCUGACGCAGCCAUGCCGCGUGAAUGAUGAAGGUCUUAGGAUUGUAAAAUUCUUUCACCGGGGACGAUAAUGACGGUACCCGGAGAAGAAGCCCCGGCUAACUUCGUG